This 20-nucleotide microRNA is filed under the name Malus domestica (apple). RNAcentral describes it as "mdm-miR156ae". Its record names the gene mdm-miR156ad. The record is from miRBase by way of RNAcentral. Lineage: Eukaryota; Viridiplantae; Streptophyta; Magnoliopsida; Rosales; Rosaceae.
UGACAGAAGAAAGUGAGCAC